CAAACCAAAUCACCAGAAACCGAGAUCAGAACCAGUUUCCACAACUCACAUUAACAAGGUUCGAAGUUAUGAGCAUCUCAAAAGCACCUUAUUAGCUUAAUCAAUCAAAAUCUCAACUCCGUGGGAGAAACCCAAUUGGACAAUUGGGGACUCGCGCAUCAAUCAAUCCUCACACUCCAAAGGUUUGAGCUUCAAAACCACAAUUAGGGUCGAUUCCAAGUACGAUCCAAUCAAAACCCUAAAAAAACCAAAUUGACAAAAAAAAAAAACAAAAUGUCAAGUGAAAUCAUCUAACUUCUCAAACGAAACGUAAAGUCGAAGCUAUGCACCAAUUCUCUCCAUGUGGGUUUGAAGUAAACAAAACCAAAAUUAUCAGAAAACCCAAAAAAAAUUCAAGCUUUAUAGUAUCUGGGUGGAUCCAAUGUCAAAACUUUCGAACAAAAUUCACUCAAAAAUCUAAACUUUUUAGUAAAGAAAUCAAACGAUGUUGCUACAAAACAGCUUUGGUUUUACGAAAAAUCAAAAACUUGCGAUUUCGAAGAUCUCACAGUGAGAGAUACCAAUCUCUUUCUCUCUCACCCAUCUCUCUUCCAAUCUAUAUGUGUUGGCAUAUGUAUGUAUAUAUAUAUACCUUUUCUUUGUGUGUAUAUAUGUAAAUGUUCUUCUAGGAAGGUUUUAUUUUUGAAAAAAAAAAAAAAGAACUUUUACGGGUUAAUUUUUGAUGGGUUGGCUCUUGAUGUGGGAAGAAGAAGAAUCUCUCUCUCUCUUGUUUCUCUCCCUAAAACUCCCCAGCG
RNAcentral lists this long non-coding RNA (794 nucleotides) under Arabidopsis lyrata. RNAcentral describes it as "long non-coding RNA (ALYR_LNC000210)". The record is from RNAcentral. Lineage: Eukaryota; Viridiplantae; Streptophyta; Magnoliopsida; Brassicales; Brassicaceae.